GAAACUGGGGAACUUUGAGUGCAGAAGAGGAGAGUGGAAUUUCCACGUGUAGCGGUGAAAUGCGUAGAGAUGUGGAGGAACACCAGUGGCGAAGGCGACUCUCUGGUCUGUAACUGACGCUGAGGAGCGAAAGCGUGGGGAGCGAACAGGAUUAGAUACCCUGGUAGUCCACGCCGUAAACGAUGAGUGCUAAGUGUUAGGGGGUUUCCGCCCCUUAGUGCUGCAGCUAACGCAUUAAGCACUCCGCCUGGGGAGUACGGUCGCAAGACUGAAACUCAAAGGAAUUGACGGGGGCCCGCACAAGCGGUGGAGCAUGUGGUUUAAUUCGAAGCAACGCGAAGAACCUUACCAGGUCUUGACAUCCUCUGACACUCCUAGAGAUAGGACGUCCCCUUCGGGGGCAGAGUGACAGGUGGUGCAUGGUUGUCGUCAGCUCGUGUCGUGAGAUGUUGGGUUAAGUCCCGCAACGAGCGCAACCCUUGAUCUUAGUUGCCAGCAUUCAGUUGGGCACUCUAAGGUGACUGCCGGUGACAAACCGGAGGAAGGUGGGGAUGACGUCAAAUCAUCAUGCCCCUUAUGACCUGGGCUACACACGUGCUACAAUGGACAGAACAAAGGGCAGCGAAACCGCGAGGUUAA
RNAcentral lists this ribosomal RNA (639 nucleotides) under Bacillus subtilis. RNAcentral's name for it is "bacterial SSU rRNA". It matches the Rfam family "Bacterial small subunit ribosomal RNA", at positions 629 to 1266 of the family's 1533-position model. Lineage: Bacteria; Bacillati; Bacillota; Bacilli; Caryophanales; Bacillaceae. The record is from RNAcentral.